This 468-nucleotide ribosomal RNA is filed under the name uncultured bacterium. RNAcentral's name for it is "partial 16S ribosomal RNA". It matches the Rfam family "Bacterial small subunit ribosomal RNA", at positions 28 to 507 of the family's 1533-position model. The record is from RNAcentral.
GACGAACGCUGGCGGCGUGCUUAACACAUGCAAGUCGAACGGAAAGGCCCUGCUUUUGUGGGGUGCUCGAGUGGCGAACGGGUGAGUAACACGUGAGUAACCUGCCCUUGACUGUGGGAUAACUUCAGGAAACUGGGGCUAAUACCGGAUAGGAGCUCCUGCUGCAUGGUGGGGGUUGGAAAGUUUCGGCGGUUGGGGAUGGACUCGCGGCUUAUCAGCUUGUUGGUGGGGUAGUGGCUUACCAAGGCUUUGACGGGUAGCCGGCCUGAGAGGGUGACCGGCCACAUUGGGACUGAGAUACGGCCCAGACUCCUACGGGAGGCAGCAGUGGGGAAUAUUGCACAAUGGGCGGAAGCCUGAUGCAGCAACGCCGCGUGCGGGAUGACGGCCUUCGGGUUGUAAACCGCUUUCGACUGUGACGAAGCGUGAGUGACGGUAAUGGGUAAAGAAGCACCGGCUAACUACGUG